CAGUUCUACAAAUUCUGAAUAUACCAAGGCUGAUGUUUAUUCCUUUGGAGUAAUUCUUUUGGAGUUGAUUACCAUUCAACAACCUGUUGAUGAUAGAAGUUCCAAUGGUCACAAUGAUAUAGUUAACCAGGUAUAUAUUUAUUUCUCAAUUCAUACAAUAUAGAAGUAAUAUAAUACUGUAUAAAAAUUUUAGGCAUAAUAUUUUUUGAAUUAGUGAUGAGUAUUGGGAAUAAAAUUGAGAGACAUCAAAAGGAUUUUCUUUUUUCCAAAGAUCAAUUUAUUGUAAAUUUAUGGAACAAUAAUCCACUUUUUAAGGGUUUUUUUUUUAAACUUCAAAGUAAGAAAAUGUCAAAUAUGGAUAUACUAUUUCUUAUUAGUCUAUUAAACACUUAAACUAAAAUUGUAAUCUAUUGAACACCUAAAUUUAUAAAAAUUAUAAUAAUUAAACACAAAUUUAUUAUAUCAUUAAAGAUCUGUAAGUAGAAAUCAGAAAUAGUUCGAGUUAUUGUUAACUAUGUAAGAAAUUUUGUUAAUUAAACUCUAAAUCUUCAUAAAAUAAUGAUAUAAUACUCAACUAAUUUUAUUAAUUUAUAAAAAAAUAUAACGUAGUUAGUAAAAUUUAGAGUACAAACAUCAAUAUAUUUUACCAAUUUUAUUUUUUUCUAAUAAAUUAUCAAUGAUAUAACUAAUUUAUAUUUAGUUGUUAUAAUCUUUAUAAAUUUAAGUGUUGAAUAUAUUUUAAUUUUUUAGUUUAGGUAUAUAGUAGGUUAAUUCAAUUAGUAUGGAGGUAUAAGUACAUAUUAGGCCUUAAAAACUUUAUUCUCUUUCAUUUAUAAAUUUUCUAUAUAACUUGUCUUAUUUUAUAUUUAUCUUUGAAAAUUCAGGCUGCCUCUUUAAUUAAAAAUGCAUUGGAUAUCGGCAAAUACGAUGAUUUUAUUGAUUCUAACUUACAAAAUUCCUAUACAAAAAACAAAUAGUUCGAAUGCUAUAUUCUGGUGCAGAUUGUGUGUAUAAACCUUCAGAGCUUCGUCCACAAAUUGGCCAGGUAAAUCUACAAGAACCAGAUAUUAUGUUUUUCAUUUCAGGUCAUUGUAUCAAUUAGAUUAAUUUUCAUAAGAAUAUAAUUAUGGUACUACAACUUAGAAAAAGAAAAUCAAUAAGGAAUCCUAACGAGCUAAUAAUUUUAAGAAAUAUUAAUCUUUAGUUCUUGCAGUUUAUUGAACCUAAAUAAUUGGUUCUUCUUUUUCUUUAAAAAAAGUACAGUUCUAUAAUUUUCAACUUAUUAACUAUAUAAUUAGUCCCUUUAUUUAUUUAAGUCCUUAGUAACGUGUGAAAUAAAAUAAAGAUCUAUUUGAUAUUAUUGUUGGAAUAGCUAUUGAGAAAAAAAAUACUAUCUUAAAUAUAUUAGUAGAAGUAUACUAAAUAAUGUAGGUGUGAAAUAAAGGGAUUAAAUAGUCAUUUUUCUUAAUUUUCAGUUUAGUAUAAGUUAAUCAUUCUAUUAUUUUUGUAUAUGUUAUGUAGAUAAUUCAAGUCCUAAAAGGAACAACGGAGCUAGAGAAUAUAUGGCGUCUCAGUGAUAAUGAGAUUUUUCUACGAGAUGAAUCAUCGGAUAGUGUUCAUUCUAACUAAUACUAAGCAUGACUUAAUCAUAGCAUGUUGGCAUCUUUGGCUAAUUAUUGCUCUUCUACGUAGCAGCUACUCUCCUAGUGCUAUGCAUUCCAUCCAAUAGAUAUUGUAGGGAAUUCUAGCUGGUCUAUCUUCUAAUAAUGUUUGUACUCAGCUUUAGGUUCGUUUGAAUUAGCUCUUUGCUUUUGAUCUCUUAUGCUAGUUAAAUUGUAAUUGUGGAUAUUGAGAGUCAUUUUAUUGCUAGGGAGAGGUUCAAUUUAUUUAUAGUUGUUGAUUGGGAUGAGUCUAGAUUGUGGCUAAAUUGGUUUACAAGGUUUUUUUUGUUACUUUGGCUCAGCAUCUAGUUUUGUGAUUUUUAGUGAAUUUCAGGACUAAUUCUCUCUUUAUAAGCUGUUUAUA
Molecule: long non-coding RNA, 2025 nt
Filed under: Manihot esculenta (cassava)
Lineage: Eukaryota; Viridiplantae; Streptophyta; Magnoliopsida; Malpighiales; Euphorbiaceae
Description: long non-coding RNA (MESC_LNC006811)
Source: RNAcentral